This 466-nucleotide ribosomal RNA is filed under the name uncultured bacterium. RNAcentral's name for it is "bacterial SSU rRNA". It matches the Rfam family "Bacterial small subunit ribosomal RNA", at positions 1 to 507 of the family's 1533-position model. The record is from RNAcentral.
CACAUGUGACGUAGUUUGACUCCGUGGCUCAGUAUUAGAACGCUGGCGGCAUGGCUAAAACAUGCAAGUCGAACGAUCCCUUCGGGGAGAGUGGCGAAAGGGCGAGGAAUAGAAUCGAAUGUACCCCAAGGUGGGGGAUAGCCUCUGGAAACGGAGGGUAAUACCCCAUGUGCUCUACGGAGAAAGGUUUACCGCCUUGGGAGCAGCGAUUCUCCUAUCAGGUAGUUGGUGAGGUAACGGCUCACCAAGCCGAAGACGGGUAGCGGGUGUGAGAGCAUGACCCGCCGCAUCGGGACUGAGACACUGCCCGGACUCCUACGGGAGGCUGCAGUAACGAAUCUUCCGCAAUGGGCGAAAGCCUGACGGAGCAAUGCCGCGUGUGGGAUGAAGCAUCUUCGAUGUGUAAACCACUGUCAGGGUCUAGGAAUACUGACCAGACCCAAAGGAAGGGCCGGCUAAUUCCGUG